GACGAACGCUGGCGGCGUGCCUAAUACAUGCAAGUAGAACGCUGAAGGAGGAGCUUGCUUCUCUGGAUGAGUUGCGAACGGGUGAGUAACGCGUAGGUAACCUGCCUGGUAGCGGGGGAUAACUAUUGGAAACGAUAGCUAAUACCGCAUAAUAGCAGUUGUUGCAUGACAACUGUUUGAAAGGUGCAAUUGCACCACUACCAGAUGGACCUGCGUUGUAUUAGCUAGUUGGUGGGGUAACGGCUCACCAAGGCGACGAUACAUAGCCGACCUGAGAGGGUGGUCGGCCACACUGGGACUGAGACACGGCCCAGACUCCUACGGGAGGCAGCAGUAGGGAAUCUUCGGCAAUGGGCGGAAGUCUGACCGAGCAACGCCGCGUGAGUGAAGAAGGUUGUCGGAUCGUAAAGGUCUGUUGUAAGGGAAGAACGAGUGUGAGAGUGGAAAGUUCACACUGUGACGGUAUCUUACCAGAAAGGGACGGCUAACUACGUG
RNAcentral lists this ribosomal RNA (495 nucleotides) under uncultured bacterium. RNAcentral's name for it is "partial 16S ribosomal RNA". It matches the Rfam family "Bacterial small subunit ribosomal RNA", at positions 28 to 507 of the family's 1533-position model. The record is from RNAcentral.